GGCCGAUUAUCUAGCGGAGCUGCGAGUUAUACAUAUACAUGCGAACACUGACCGGUCAAGCUGCCAGGCCAAACCUGUCUUUUCUGUCCUUUUGUUGUUCAGAUGUGCUAGUGAAGUCUUUUGUAUAUAAAAAAACAGACGGAUAAGAAAUGAUUGAUUGUCAUUUUACUUCUUAUAUUUGUAUUUUCUCUCAAUUUGUUUUUUUAAAAAAAGGGAGAGGAAUAGAAUGAAGUGGAAUAAAAAGGAGCAGAAUAAAAUCAAGUGGAAGAGAAUGGAACAAAAUGGAGCAGGCCAAAUUAGAAUAGAACGGGACGGAGUCGAACGGAGCAGAGUGGAAUCGGACAGAAUGGAGCGGAGAGGAAUGGAGCAGAACGGAACAGGAUGGAGCAGAACGGAGUGGGUAGAAUAGAGCGAAGCGGAAUAGAACGGAGCGGAACGGAAAAGAAUGGAGCGGAAUAGAACGGAACCGAUAGAAUGGAGCGGAGUAGAACGGAACAGAACAGGAAAAGAAUGGAGCGGAACAGAACGGAACCGGUAGAAUGGAGCGGAAUAGAACGGAACCGGAAAGAAUGGAGCGGAGUAGAACGGAACCGAUAGAAUGGAGCGGAGUAGAACGGAACCAGUAGAACGGAACAGAACGGAAAAGAAUGGAGCGGAGUAGAACGGAACCGGUAGAAUGGAGUGGAACAGAACAGAACGGAAAGAAUGGAGUGGAAUAGAACGGAACCGGUAGAACGGAGCAGAGUAGAACGGAACCGGUAGAACGGAGCGGAAUAGAACGGAACCGGUAGAACGGAGCGGAAUAGAACGGAACCGGUAGAACGGAGCGGAAUAGAACGGAACCGAAAAGAAUGGAGUGGAACGGAACAGGGCGGAAUAGAGUGGAGCAGAAUAGAACGGAACGGAGUGGAAUAGAGUGGAGCAGAAUAGAACGGAACGGAGUGGAAUAGAGUGGAGCAGAAUAGAACGGAACGGAGUGGAAUAGAGUGG
Ictalurus punctatus (channel catfish) is the source of this 990-nucleotide long non-coding RNA. Lineage: Eukaryota; Metazoa; Chordata; Actinopteri; Siluriformes; Ictaluridae. The record is from Ensembl.